This 492-nucleotide ribosomal RNA is filed under the name uncultured bacterium. Its description in RNAcentral is "partial 16S ribosomal RNA". It matches the Rfam family "Bacterial small subunit ribosomal RNA", at positions 29 to 507 of the family's 1533-position model. The record is from RNAcentral.
AUUAAACGCUGGCGGCAUGCUUUACACAUGCAAGUCGAACGGUAACGGGCCUUCGGGUGCUGACGAGUGGCGAACGGGUGAGUAAUGCAUCGGAACGUACCCAGAGGUGGGGGAUAACGCAGCGAAAGCUGUGCUAAUACCGCAUGUGAUCUGAGGAUGAAAGCGGGGGACCGAGCAGCAAUGUUUGGCCUCGCGCCUUUGGAGCGGCCGAUGUCGGAUUAGCUAGUUGGUGGGGUAAAGGCCUACCAAGGCGACGAUCCGUAGCUGGUCUGAGAGGACGACCAGCCACACUGGGACUGAGACACGGCCCAGACUCCUACGGGAGGCAGCAGUGGGGAAUUUUGGACAAUGGGCGCAAGCCUGAUCCAGCAAUGCCGCGUGCGGGAAGAAGGCCUUCGGGUUGUAAACCGCUUUUGGCAGGAACGAAACGGUGUCCGCUAAUACCGGGCGCUAAUGACGGUACCUGCAGAAUAAGCACCGGCUAACUACGUG